CAAGAAGUGUGUACGUGUGCGCGUCCUCAGCGGUGCCCACUCCUGUCACCAACUUCCGCUCUCCCUCUCUCGCGCCUAUCACGUAUUCUUUUCGCUCAGUUUCAGCCAUCUGGGCUAGGCCGUCUAUACCUCCAUCAGCAUCGGCAUUUUGGGUAGAAGCACUGAAAACGAUCCUCUUUCUGUCCCUCCUCCUCUUCCCUAUUACGGACCCUUUUUCUCUGUAUUGUGAGCGUCAAGUGAGCGAAAAUGAUGUAUACAGGUGAAAUCGAGAACGGCCAGAUGCAUGGCCGGGGCUGCCUCAUCUACCCGAACAAGGAGAAGUACGAGGGCGACUGGGUGUACGGCAAGCGUCACGGCCACGGCGUGUACACAUACGCGGACGGUAGCAAGUACGAUGGGGAGUGGGUGGAGGAUAAGGUGCACGGCAAGGGCACAUGCUACUACGCCAGCGGCAAUCGCUACACCGGUGACUGGACGUUUGGCCGCAUCAACGGCCGCGGUACCCUCGAGUACGCCGACGGCGAUCGCUACGACGGUGAGUGGAAGGACGGCCGCAUGCAUGGCAAGGGUCUCUACUACUACUCCAACGGCGACCGCUACGACGGCGAGUGGAAGGAUGAUAAACGUCACGGAAAGGGUACGGUGACGUACGCCGGCCCCGACGGUAGCGUGUCGGAGAAGUUCGACGGCGACUGGGUGGAGGGGCGCAUGCAGGGCUGGGGUAAGUACUACUACGCCGACGGCGGCGUUUACGAGGGCGAGUGGCAGGAUGGCAAGAUGCACGGCAAGGGUACGUACAUAUUCCCGAACGGCAACAAAUACGAGGGUGAGUGGUGCGACGAUGUGAAGCAGGGCUACGGUGUGCUGACCUACGUCAACGGCGAGCGCUACGAGGGCUACUGGCUGGACGACAAGGCGCACGGCACCGGCACCCUCACCUACCUCCAGGGUGACCGCUAUACAGGCGAGUGGUACCAGGGCAAGAAACACGGCCGCGGUACUCUGGCCUAUAGCAACAAAGACACGUAUGAGGGCGAGUGGCGGAACGACAGCGCGACCGGCCGAGGUGUGCUCGAGUACGCGAAUGGGUGCCGCUACGAGGGAGACUGGUUGGAUGAUAGGCGCCACGGCGAAGGCCAGCUGUUGCUACCGGACGGCUCCAGCUAUGAGGGUGGGUGGGUGAAUGGCAAGAAGGAGGGCCGCGCCCGCAUUAUCCUCAAGUGCGGCGCCGUCUUCGUGGGCACUUGGAAGGACAACCGUAUCGUGGGACAGGGCGAGUUCUACCUCUCCGAGAACUGCGACCUCAACAAUCCCGACUACUAGAGCACCCCUGCACCGACAUGUUUUUGUUUUGCGGACUCCCCCUCCCUGUUCAAGUUGUAUCAUCGGUCGCCCGUCCCUUUCUCUUGUCUGUAUGUACUGUUGCUCGUUUUUCCUCUCGUUUUAUGUGCGUGUCCGCCAAGCGCAGCCCCUUUGCCGCUGCUGCCGCCGCCACCCUACUCAUUCACCCCUCAUGUUGCGAAUGUCAUGCGGUCGCGCUGAUGGGGGAGGGGUGGGCGUGGCGUGCAGUGGUACCCUUCCUUUGUGUUCCGUUUUAGAACUUGGCGAUUGCCUUUGGGUGUGCCUGUCACACGCCUGCCUGCCUGCCUGACUGUGUGUGCAUGUGUGCCCUGUACGCCACGUGAUUGAGCUUUUUUUUCUUCUUGGGGUCCGGGUUUGUUGUUGCGGCUUGUGUUUCGACUUUUGCACUAACGUGCGCAUUCCUAGAUCUCUUGUUCCUCUCGCUGUGGGCCACGUGGCGGCUGCGAGUCAGUGAUUGCCCGGAUGCGUGUGCGCGUCUGUAUGCAUGCGUCUCGUGUGAUGAAGCAGAGGGGCGAAGAGCGACGAGGGCCAUAUUUUGGAGCAGAUGAGAGGCGCAGAGUCAAGCGACUUUCUUUUUCCCUUUCUCUUUACUCCUUUGUUCGUGCACCGUUGCCUACGCCAUCCUCUGCCGGUGCUGUACGCCGCUCUGCUGGUGUGCGCGAGUGCACCACUUCUUCGCUCUACACCGGUUCUGCAUCGCUGCGUGUGCUGCGGUUUCGCACUCUUCCCAUGCAAGUGUAUGUAUGGCCGCCUCUCUCUUGCUACCCUUCCCUCGUCCUUUAUCAUAGACAGCAAACGUUGUAUUUCUUUAUUUACGUGUCACACGCCUGCCUGUGUGUGUGCUCUCUUUUUUUGGGAGCGGGUAGUACUUAUUGAGGGCUUUGCCAACAUCUCUGCCGGGAUUCGUCUGCCGAGCUCUUUUUUCUUGUGUUCCUCGUUGGUAUCCAUUCUUACCUCUGCCUCCCCCUGUUGCGUUCGCGCUUUCGUUGUUGUAAAGGGAAAGAAAAGAGUACAUGGCACACUGCGCACUGUCCCUGAAACAACUUAGGCGAAGUUGCCGCAUACCGCACGCGCUGGCUGUCAUGCACAUAAGCUAACCCGCGGACACACAUACAUACGCACGCACACACGAUCGUACAACUGGGCGAAAAGAAGAGGUGCAUCGCGACAUCCACGGACGCAGUCAUCAUUGCCAUUACCACUGCGCCUUCCCUUCCCUUCCCUUUUUUCCCCUUUUCCUUUUCCCCCUUUCUCUGCCUUUCCCUUUGUGUUGUGUUGCUUGCUCUCCCCCUUGAUUUGGGAGGGAGGGAGGGAGGGAGGGAGGAGGAGGGCGGACGGCGCGUACAUCUUUAGACAUGCAGAACUGCAAGCAACGAACGAAAAAAAAAUGACUCCACGGUGUUUGAACAAAACGAAAACACUAUUUAAACAAAGAACCGCGCUAGCAGCCGUCAUGAGAAGAAGCACACAUGAGGCAUGAAGAACGCAGGAGAGGGGAGAGAGUGAGAGGCAUGCGGUGGCUUGGUUUCGCGCGGAGAUGUGAAGAUGGAGCGAGGGCACAGACGGGGAGUGGGCAAGUGGUAACGGGAUUGUGGAUGGGGAGGGGCACUUGCGCCUCUGCUCUCCGCCUCCCCAUAUGUUUCGCUUGUUUCGUCUUCUCUUGCUUUGUUCUCACUCUCACCGACGCUCUCGGC
Molecule: unclassified non-coding RNA, 3056 nt
Filed under: Leishmania donovani
Lineage: Eukaryota; Euglenozoa; Kinetoplastea; Trypanosomatida; Trypanosomatidae
Description: gene:LdHU3.30.4460(CDS-product:MORN_repeat-contai ning_protein_1)
Source: RNAcentral